This 394-nucleotide ribosomal RNA is filed under the name uncultured bacterium. RNAcentral describes it as "partial 16S ribosomal RNA". It matches the Rfam family "Bacterial small subunit ribosomal RNA", at positions 338 to 729 of the family's 1533-position model. The record is from RNAcentral.
CCUACGGGUGGCAGCAGUGAGGAAUAUUGGUCAAUGGGCGCGAGCCUGAACCAGCCAAGUAGCGUGAAGGAUGACUGCCCUACGGGUUGUAAACCUCUUUUGUCAAGGAACAAAGUGAGGCACGCGUGCCUUUUUGUAGGUACUCUAUGAAUAAGGAUCGGCUAACUCCGUGCCAGCAGCCGCGGUAAUACGGAGGAUCCGAGCGUUAUCCGGAUUUAUUGGGUUUAAAGGGAGCGUAGGUGGGUUGUUAAGGCAGGUGUGAAAGUUUGCGGCUCAACCGCAACAUUGCAGUUGAUACUGGGAGUCUUGAGUACAGUUGAGGUAUGCGGAAUGCGUGGUGUAGCGGUGAAAUGCAUAGAUAUCACGCAGAACUCCGAUUGCGAAGGCAGCUUAC